This 87-nucleotide transfer RNA is filed under the name Deltaproteobacteria bacterium GWA2_65_63. RNAcentral's name for it is "tRNA-Leu". It matches the Rfam family "tRNA". Rfam says of the family: Transfer RNA (tRNA) molecules are approximately 80 nucleotides in length. Their secondary structure includes four short double-helical elements and three loops (D, anti-codon, and T loops). RNAcentral also lists the same sequence under 6 other names. The record is from RNAcentral. Lineage: Bacteria; Deltaproteobacteria.
GCCCGGGUGGCGGAACUGGCAGACGCACGGGACUUAAAAUCCCGAGGCCGCGAGGCCGUGGGGGUUCGAUUCCCCCCCCGGGCACCA